UGCAGAAAAUAACCCAUCUACCGUACGACCCAUGACCCCCAAUCCCGUCGGCACCUCCAGCGCGCCGCCGCCCCCUACUACGUCGUCACACGCCACCGAACUCCACCUCACCGUCGCGCCGCCAGACUCCUCCUCGCUGUCGCGCUGCCAGAACCCACCCAGCCGUCGCGCAAGGGCGGUUCCGGAGCACGAGCCAGCAUAGAGGGGGCCGGGACCAGAAGCAGGAUGCGAAAGUUGGAGCGUCGCACGGCACCUUGCGGCGUUCGUGUUCCUCAUAGUCGCCUCACUCCUCCAUGGCCUACCUGCGAGAGCCCACGCUGGAGGAUGACCCUGACCAUGGCGUAGAGUCCAGCCGACGGUAUCCGACAUGGUAGUCUUCUCGAAGGAGCCGUGGUCCAUGCCGACAAGCAGAGGCCCACCGUCGCGAGUCCUCCUCCCAUUGCUAUCCUCCACAUCCCCGAUGAAUAGGAGCCAGAGAAGCACAGUGCAUUCUUCCUCCCUUAUGUCUAUGCGGAUUAUGAAUAGAUGAUGUGAUUGCUUUGUUAUUUUAUUCAAUUAAUGGCAAAAUUGAUGAGGUAAUUGGAAGAAUCGAGCAGCAAUUUUAUUACAGAACUCGCCAUUGAUUUGGUCAUCUCUGUCACUAGCAAGUUGCAUAAGAAAGAUCGUGGAGUUGUAGAGGUGUGAAUGAAAAAGUUAGUCUGGGAGAUAGUUAUAGUGAUCCGUAAAUUAUAGAGCGGAUCCAGGUGAAAUUUCCUGCGCAUUGAAAGUCAUAUUGCUCUAAUUUGGAGCAUUAGCUACUCACUCCUCGAGGCAAAGGAAGGGUGUGAUGACAAGGGCUGGUUGUUUUUUAACUCAGUUGAAUCAUCUUUCUUGAUAGGUAGUCUAAGACAAAUUACCCUAUUGCCUGGAGGUAAAGCAGUCUACUAUGGCUUAACCAAAGCAGAGUGGCCUUACAGUUUCAGCUCGCACCAUGGUUCUUGGGAAGCACUAGGGAGGCAGCAAGCUGACACAGUGCCAUUAAGAUUUGUAUUUAUCAGUUUGUAAUCUAUGUCUUCAGAUCAUUUUGUUUUUACAUGCAAAUCAUAUACAUAGGAGUACAGUUUAUAGUUAAAGCAUAAUUUUGAUGCAAAUCUAUGGUAGCCAUCGUCAUUCAGCCAGCGAAGAGCUACACUACCUGAAGCCCCUCGAUUGAUAACAUAUACGUGAGUACUCUAAACCUCGGAAAUUGCCUGGUCUAUUCUUCAGCAAUUAAUAGAAGAUACAUUAAUGUUUUCUUCGUUUCUGGAGAUGAGCCUACAUUUUUAUAUUCUAACGUAGAUGUUCAUGAGAACAUGAAAAGCACCAUCAAUUGUAACACAUAUUUUCAGUUUUACUGAUUUGUCUGCAAGAUGAAUUUGUGCAUUAUCAAUACAAGAAAUUGGGGUACUAUUUGGGAAAGCCACUGUUGAGAUGUUUCCCCAAAUGACAGGAUACAACCACCAUAAUUUUUAUCCUCUGCAUUAGUUUCAGUUUAUUGCAAUAUUUUUAGACAUUUUCCUAUAGUAAAGGUAAGUACAGGUGAUCCCUUUUAAUUAGUGCAAGUUUUUUUCUGUAAAUGGUAGAAAUGUAUUUCUUCUGAUAUUAUGUAUUAGAGCAAUCCAUGUUUUGUUCUUGGCACUAUACAAGUGCAUCUCCUCUUUAACUGUAAUAGCUAGAUGCUCUUAAUUUUCUUAUGAGUCUGAUGAAUCAGUGUAAUUAUAUGAUUAUUGGAGCCCACAUAUAAUUCUCAACAAUGCAGUAUGUGCUACUCUUUUCCGUUUGUGAUAGACAAUAGUAGAAAGAAAUCUGGUCCGAAAGUAUGUGGUGUACAGUUCAUAAAAAACUAAUUACCCUAUCACCAUUAUGGUAGGAUCAAAUUCAUUGCCUAGAUGCACUAGCAUGGCCUUAGUGACGGCGCUGGAGCUACCACUGCUUGCGCCUCUAGCCACGCCAGCCGUGAUGUUCUACAUGCUGAUCAACGUGAUGUUGUCAGCCACCCAGAUUUUCUGCAGUUAGCUCGGCAACUUCCAGCCCCCACCGCCUUUCUUGUCAGCCACUACACCCAGGUUUUCGUCUAUGCCUCAUUGGAUGCAUUUCCAUCGUAUAUAAUGUUAGAUAUACACAAUUAUAGGUACAUAUAUGAUCUUCCACCUCGGCUCAUGUACUGAUAAGAUUUGUGUUGAUACAUGAUUCUCAACAAACUAUACUACCAAACUUUUUCACGAAAAGUGUAGUACCAGUUGGUGUGAUAUCUUGUCCUCAGCACCGCCCCCGAUGGAAUGACCAUGACCAUGUUGUUUCCUGGAGUCCUUUCUCAUGAUGAUGUCGCUAUUAUUCAUCCCACAGUUUAUGCAGUGGAGCGUCAAAGACCUCAGUGUGUUACAGGAGAUGACCAUGAAGAUCGGCAAGAAAGAUGUGUCAUACAUGUUGAUCAAGGAAGGUGCGGCACUGUGAUGUGCGUUGAAACACAAGCAUGGCCAGCAAUCGACGCCCACCAUCCAUGUGCCUUGCAAGCAGCAAUUUUUCACAUUCUUGAUGAUAUUUGUCAGUGCCCUCUUCUCAUCUAUCUCGACAAUCUCGGUAUCCAGGCAAGCUUACAGCCUUCCGCUUCGUAAGGAAUUGGAGCAGUACACUCCCAUUUGUUAAUUGUUAUGCCUGGUGUAUGCCUGUACGAGUACUCAAUGUUGUUGUCUGAUCUCUGUACAUUUGUUUGAGCGCCACACGAUCUCAUGAAAGAUUUGUAUUGGUCAUCUUAGUCCAAAUUGAUAAUGUUGUGUUCUUUUCAUACGACCUAGAGUAGAUAUGGUUCCACUAUCGAAGGAUACGGAACGACACAGACCAGUAGCAUCGUGGCAUAAAACCAAAAAAAAAAAGAUAGUCUAGAACAAAGGUUCAACCAGCUCAGACUGAAAACGUUGUGUACUCCACACUUCAGUACACUUACAAUUCUCAAGUUUUUUCUAUGCGUGUCAAUGGCAGCAACCAUUCUGCUGCGCAACAAGAGAAUCUAUCUGUAUAAAGUUUAAGACCUAAGUCCUGAAAUUCCUGGCAGGAACAGAAAACUUAGGGCCUGUUCGGACCUCCUCCAACUUCACAAAACUCCCCAAAUCUAGCUUCUCUUCUUGGCUUCUCACUCCAUGCAACGAUUUCGUUCCGUUCGGCAACUAAAUCAGCUUC
This is a long non-coding RNA of Triticum urartu, 3195 nucleotides long. RefSeq lists it as uncharacterized. NCBI's taxonomy places the organism in Eukaryota, Viridiplantae, Streptophyta, Magnoliopsida, Poales, Poaceae. The record is from RefSeq and is a predicted model, not a curated record.